Molecule: transfer RNA, 76 nt
Filed under: Klebsiella pneumoniae
Lineage: Bacteria; Pseudomonadati; Pseudomonadota; Gammaproteobacteria; Enterobacterales; Enterobacteriaceae
Description: tRNA-Thr(tgt)
Rfam family: tRNA
About the family: Transfer RNA (tRNA) molecules are approximately 80 nucleotides in length. Their secondary structure includes four short double-helical elements and three loops (D, anti-codon, and T loops). Further hydrogen bonds mediate the characteristic L-shaped molecular structure. tRNAs have two regions of fundamental functional importance: the anti-codon, which is responsible for specific mRNA codon recognition, and the 3' end, to which the tRNAs corresponding amino acid is attached (by aminoacyl-tRNA synthetases). tRNAs cope with the degeneracy of the genetic code in two manners: having more than one tRNA (with a specific anti-codon) for a particular amino acid; and 'wobble' base-pairing, i.e. permitting non-standard base-pairing at the 3rd anti-codon position.
Source: RNAcentral
GCCGGCUUAGCUCCAAUGGUAGAGCAGUCGCCUUGUAAGCUGCGCGUCAGAGGUUCGAUUCCUUUACCCGGCACCA